GACGAACGCUGGCGGCGUGCCUAAUACAUGCAAGUAGAACGCUGAAGCUUGGUGCUUGCACCGAGCGGAUGAGUUGCGAACGGGUGAGUAACGCGUAGGUAACCUGCCUGGUAGCGGGGGAUAACUAUUGGAAACGAUAGCUAAUACCGCAUAAGAGUAGAUGUUGCAUGACAUUUGCUUAAAAGGUGCAAUUGCAUCACUACCAGAUGGACCCGCGUUGUAUUAGCUAGUUGGUGAGGUAACGGCUCACCAAGGCAACGAUACAUAGCCGACCUGAGAGGGUGAUCGGCCACACUGGGACUGAGACACGGCCCAGACUCCUACGGGAGGCAGCAGUAGGGAAUCUUCGGCAAUGGACGGAAGUCUGACCGAGCAACGCCGCGUGAGUGAAGAAGGGUUUCGGAUCGUAAAGCUCUGUUGUAAGAGAAGAACGAGUGUGAGAGUGGAAAGUUCACACUGUGACGGUAUCUUACCAGAAAGGGACGGCUAACUACGUG
This 497-nucleotide ribosomal RNA is filed under the name uncultured bacterium. RNAcentral's name for it is "partial 16S ribosomal RNA". It matches the Rfam family "Bacterial small subunit ribosomal RNA", at positions 28 to 507 of the family's 1533-position model. The record is from RNAcentral.